GACGAACGCUGGCGGCGUGCUUAACACAUGCAAGUCGAACGGAAAGGCCCUGCUUUUGUGGGGUGCUCGAGUGGCGAACGGGUGAGUAACACGUGAGUAACCUGCCCUUGACUUUGGGAUAACUUCAGGAAACUGGGGCUAAUACCGGAUAGGAGCUCCUGCUGCAUGGUGGGGGUUGGAAAGUUUCGGCGGUUGGGGAUGGACUGGCGGCUUAUCAGCUUGUUGGUGGGGUAGUGGCUUACCAAGGCUUUGACGGGUAGCCGGCCUGAGCGGGUGACCGGCCACAUUGGGACUGAGAUAAGGCCCAGACUCCUACGGGAGGCAGCAGUGGGGAAUAUUGCACAAUGGGCGGAAGCCUGAUGCAGCAACGCCGCGUGCGGGAUGACGGCCUUCGGGUUGUAAACCGCUUUCGCCUGUGACGAAGCGUGAGUGACGGUAAUGGGUAAAGAAGCACCGGCUAACUACGUG
This 468-nucleotide ribosomal RNA is filed under the name uncultured bacterium. RNAcentral describes it as "partial 16S ribosomal RNA". It matches the Rfam family "Bacterial small subunit ribosomal RNA", at positions 28 to 507 of the family's 1533-position model. The record is from RNAcentral.